RNAcentral lists this long non-coding RNA (5289 nucleotides) under Taeniopygia guttata (zebra finch). Its description in RNAcentral is "lncRNA (ENSTGUG00000023553.1)". The record is from RNAcentral. Lineage: Eukaryota; Metazoa; Chordata; Aves; Passeriformes; Estrildidae.
GGGCUCAGCUUGCGAGAUGCCUGUGAUGCUGCAGUUGAGUGCGGGGAGCUGGGAACUCACUCUCUCAUUUACCAGAGGGGAAACGGAGGCUGGGAGAAGGGAAGUGACUCAUGGAGGGCCACACAGCCAGGCAAAGCUGGGACAAGGCUAGGAUCAGGACCCAGGGCUCUCGGCACCCCGCCCUCCAAGUCUGAGCGCUAGCAGGCGCAGAGAUACGAAUUCAACAGUGCCAGAGCUCAGGAGACCCCCUGACGGGGGGAAGGCAUCUCGGAGACGUCGCAGUUUCUGGCAAGAGCAGGCAGGAACUCCUUGGGAAUUAACCCUGACCUGCAAGAGCUGGCUUCCCGGCAGAAUAGUACUAGAGAGAGCCGCGCAACCCACUGCCAAAACCCUCAUCUUCAUUGCCAAUAAAGGCCAGGCGCAGCCUCGCAAGAGGUGCCUCUUCCUCCGGCAUGCAAUCAGCUCCUCGCUGGGCGGCCAGAGUCUGCGCAGCCCAAACGGCAUGGGCAUGAGGGCUCCCCUCUUUCAUAUAAGGUCUUCCUCAGGAAGGACGUGGAUGCAGACGACAAGCAGCAGGAGCCUGGGAGUGUUCAGGCCAGUGUUUUCUGCUCUCCAGUGGGCAGAUGCUCUCCCUUCUAUGCGGCAGAGACCUGGGUGCGAGGCAAGCUGCGGGACCUGAAGGACGGCUGUGACCUCCAGGAUUGUGAGGAGGUGGCUCAGACCUUGCAGCGGGACAUGAAGGAUUUUGAGAACACACUGAUAAAGCUCAAUCAGAUGGGUGAGCAGCUGAUGUGGAGGGCAAGCCCCAGUGCUGAGGCCAUGCAGAGGCAGCUGCAGGCCCUGCAGGACCUGUGGCAGCUCCUGAAGCAGACGGCUGCCAGCCAGAGCAAAGCCCUCCGGGGGCUGUGGGGUCUGCAGGACUUUAACAGGAAAGCUGAGCGGCUGGAGGCGUGGAUCAAGGACAAGGAGGAGAAGCCGUCUCUGGCAGCCCUCCUGCAGGAAAGCCCGGAUAAGAUCCAGCUCACUCGCCGCAUCCUUGACUUGAAGCAGGAGGAGCAGCAGUUCCAGAGUCUGCACAAGGAGCUGAACAGCCUGGCCCAGAAGCUGGAGAAAGAAGGCAAAAAUGAGAGCAGAAACAUCUCAGCCCGGCGCAAGCACCUCAACAGAGCGUGGCUUCGGCUGCAGGGGACCCUGAAGGAGCACCACGAGUCUCUGCAGCUGGCCCUGGAGGUGGCCUCCUUCCUCCAGCAAGCAGAUAUCCUGCUGGGGAUCAUCCAUGCAAAGCAGAGCAGCAUCUGCAGUACAGGGAAGCCAGGGGAGGGUGAGCCAUGCCAGGAUCGGGAUAUCAGGGACAUAGCCAGCCAGGUGAUGAUGCUGGAUGUGACAGUGUCCCAGCUCCUAAACUUACAGCCCAGCCUGGCAGCCCAAGUCACCUCAAAGCACCGAGACGUAAAGGAGAGCUGGGCACAGCUUCAACAGGCACUGAGAACAGGGAAGGCUCCAGCACGGGCAGGCAGUUCCCCAGGGAGCAAAGCUGCAGCUCCAAAUGUUGAGCCCCAAGGAGAUGAUAGCAGUCGUGGGGCUGUGGGUAAGGAAGCAGCAGCCAAGUGGACAAGAGGACUCGGCAGCAUGGUAAGCACUAUCUCACUCCAGGCAUCUGCAGCUCCUCUGCUUCCAGAAAACAAGAGAGCCUAUGGGAAAGGGGUUCAGGUGUUGGGCAGAAUCCAAGCUGAACACUCCUGGAUCUGGUCCCACCAUUUAUGGGAGGUGAUAAGUGCCAGGCCUGGGACAAAGCAGGUAUAUGCUUUGUGCUGGCCAAGGAGGAAAGGGAAUCUUUGUGCCACAGGUACCAAAAGAUGUGCUGGAGAAGAUGGCAGAGCACAAGAAAGGAGAGGAGAGCAACCCUGGCUCCCCAGCAGUGGGACAGGCCCCUCAUGGAGGGGACAACAAAAGGAGGAGAGAGGCAGAGGCUGACUGGGGGCUGCAGCAGCUGGAUACCCAAGUGCAGGAUGUCUGCCAGACUCUGUCCCCAUACAAGGAGAGUAUGGGUAUUGGAGUCCCCUCAUGUCCAGUGGCAAGCCUGGAGGCAGCAAGGAUGCAGCAAGAGCCCCUGUCUCCCAGCUCCAGUACCAGGGCUGUGCUCCUGGAGGAACCAGCACGAGGAAGGCCUCCCAGGAGCCCUCGGGUGGAGGCCAUGCUGCGGGAACUGGGAGAGUUAUGGGAGGACCUGCAGAGGAGGCAUCAGGAGAAUGGCAUAGUGCUGCAAGAAAUCGAUAAGGCACUGAGGCUGGUGGGAGAGCUGGACCAAGCUGAGCGGUGGCUGCAAGACGUGGCUGGGUCACUCUUGGAACCAGCCGCCAUGAGAAGCCCGGCAGAGCUGCGCCGGGACCUGGAAGAACUGAGCCAGCUGGAGAAGCAGCUCCUGCUCUGUGGCCUCAAGCUGCAGGCACUGCGGGAAGAAGCAGCAGGCGAGUCGCCCACUGAGCACGAGGGGGCAAGGAAGAUGCAGAGGAAAGUGGAGAUGAUGGAGGAGAAGUUGGCACAUGUGCAGGCGACCCUACGGCACAGGGCAGCAGAUCUGUGUGACUCCCUGGUGCUGUCUGAGUUCCUGCAGGACCUGCAAGAGGAGGAGGCACGGAGCCAGCAGGGAUCUGCAGUGGCAGGCAGUGGGCGUUGUGGCUCGCAGGGGUGUUUUCCCCUGCUCUCAGCCCAGACUGAGAAGUCUCCAAGCAGUGAGGACAUGAGGCGCCCCUUGGGAGAGCUGCAGGAGGCCGUGGAGAUGCUGAAUGACGCAGCGAAGGAGCGGGAGAGGGUCAUGGAGGUGGCAGUGGAGACGGAGAGCCUGGAGCGUCUGGUGGCGAAGAUAUCCCCACAGCUGGAGGCCCUUCAGUGCAGAGCCAAGGCUCUGUCUCAGGACAUUGCCCUAGCAGAGAAGAGCUUCACCACGGUGAAGAGUGAGAAGGACCUGCAAGGGCUGCAGGACUUGCUAAGCUGCCAGCAGGAGAUGGAGCAAGCAGUGUCACAGACCCUGCAAGGGCAGCUGGAGGAGCUGGAGAGGGCAGCUGCCCGCGUGCAAGAGCUGUGCCCCGCUCGGCAGUGCCCCAUCAGCUGGGAGCUGCAGGAGACUCUGUGGGCCUGGGCAGGGCUGCGAGAGCUACUGCGGGAGACCCGGCUCCGCGUGCAGCAGGCCAGCCAGCUCCGGCACUUCUUCAAGGAUUAUUUAGCCAUGAUCUCCUGGACUGAGGACACACGGGCUCAGAUCUUCUCUGAAAGCCCAAGCAGCUCCAGUAUCCCGGAGACUCCAUGUGAGGAACUGGAGAGCAGAAUUGAAGAGAAACUCAAGGAGUUUGAGGCACUAGCAGCAGCAGGGCAGCAGCUGGUGUCUGAGGAGCACUACCUGAGUGCAACAAUAAAGGAGCGCUUGGAAGAGCUGCAGAGCAUGCUGGGCUGGGUGCUGGUGCGGUGGCGAGCACAGAGGCAUCAGCAGCAGGAUCUGGGGAGCAGACAGGACAAGAGGGAGCUGGAGAACCUCUCAAGCACAUCCCCCACUGGUCAAGAGCAGCAUGCCUCACAUGUUCCACCCCACCUGGAAAGCAUCCACAGCCCAGUGAAGUUCAUGCCCUCCUCCCUCCUCGAACCUGUGCAAAGAUUAGAGCCAAAGCUUCCAGAGAAAACAGCCAUCUCCCCACCCACGUCACCCCUCUCAGAUGCCCCAUCAGGAGUGGAGCAGAGCUGGGGGGAGCCCAGCAGCAAAACACCCCAUGAUGCGGAAUCCCAGCAGGCUGCCACCUGGGAUCCUGCUGAGACUUCCACGCUGCUGCUGCCACCACGGGGCCCCUGUGGUCUCAGGGGGACGGUCAGCCUCAUCCUCAGCAUUGGCAAGAAGGGCGAGAAGAAGAAGGCACAGCUGCUGGCCAGCAGCGAGCGGCCAGGGGAGGAGGCACUGCCAACGGUGCAGGUGGAGGCCAGGAAAACCUGCAGCGCAAAGCGGCUGCCCGCUGUUGUCCGCCGCCCUCCAGCAUCCAGCGGCGGGAUGCAGGCUGUGUCCCACACCCUGCCCAAGGCCGGGGCUGGCUGUCUCUUCAACAGCCUGCAGCGGCGGGAGCAGGCCAGGGCGGAGCAGGCCCAGCUGCUGACUCUCCGGGGCAUCAUGGGGGACAGCUCCCUGCGGCCCACGCCUGAGAAAUGCCGUGGCCCCAGCAACACCUGGCCCCACAAGUGUGGUUGGAGGAAGGGGGGGUCAGGGGCAGCUGCUGCUGGACCUCAGCUUGGGGAGCUGCUCCUCUACGUCAGGAACCCGCUGGUGCAGGACAUCGAUGCCGAGUGCGGGGCAGCCCCUCAGAAUCCCUGCCUCCCUAACCCAAAAAUCACAUGCCCCCGUGUUUCCCUGGGCUCUGUGCUCAGCCUGGAGCUGCCACGGGAUGCAGUGGUCCUGGGGUGCCACCGAGGGGCUGCGGCAGGCCAGCAGGAGGCAGAGGGGCAGGAGCAGAGGCAGGAUGAAGGGGUGAGGCCUUGGAGGCCCACAGGCACACAUGGAGUUGGAUGGCAGGAAGAUGGGCACGAUCCCCAGGGGCCCAGCAAGAGGCUGGGGAUGUCGCCCAAGAGCGAGCAAGAAACGUGGUUCAAGGAGGUGAGCUUCGACCCCAGCUACAGCCAACAAAGAGCACACUGUGCUGGGAAGGAGCACUGGAACCUGCAGCACCCCAGCAGCACCAGUAAAGACCUUCUGGACUUGAGGCCGAGCCAGCCAUCCCAUGUCGGUAUGGGGGAUGAGCUGGACACCCGCUUUGGCCAGGACGACAGCCCCACUGCCACUGGCAGGGCCAGGCAUCUCAGAGCCGCUUGGCUAGAGCUUGGAUCGUCCCCUGCCAGCACACCAGGCAGGGCUGGAGCCAUCCCCAGCCCUGCCUGUACACAGCAGCCGGCCAGCAGCAGCCAGCCCAGAGGGUCCCCAGCUUCCCCUGCCGCCCCCAGCCAGCUCUCUGUCUUUGAGUGGGCACUGGGGUCUCCACAUCCCCAGAGCCCUGCACAGGUAACUAAGGAAGUUUGCCACCCUGCCCACAGGCAGUUUGAGGAAGAGGAGGAGGAGCUGCAGGCCAUCUGGGAUGGAGCACACGAACAACAGGCACAGAGCUCACCAGGAGACAGCUGUGCCAGCCACCAGACGGGCAGCAGGGCAGGCAGCUUGCCCAGCCCCAGUGCCACUACUGGCGGGCCCCUCAUCCUGUCAUCAGCCAACAAUGUGCUAGUAGCCAAAUUCACCCUUCCCACCGCUGCCCAGCUGCUCCA